Molecule: transfer RNA, 63 nt
Filed under: Cavia porcellus (domestic guinea pig)
Lineage: Eukaryota; Metazoa; Chordata; Mammalia; Rodentia; Caviidae
Rfam family: tRNA
About the family: Transfer RNA (tRNA) molecules are approximately 80 nucleotides in length. Their secondary structure includes four short double-helical elements and three loops (D, anti-codon, and T loops). Further hydrogen bonds mediate the characteristic L-shaped molecular structure. tRNAs have two regions of fundamental functional importance: the anti-codon, which is responsible for specific mRNA codon recognition, and the 3' end, to which the tRNAs corresponding amino acid is attached (by aminoacyl-tRNA synthetases). tRNAs cope with the degeneracy of the genetic code in two manners: having more than one tRNA (with a specific anti-codon) for a particular amino acid; and 'wobble' base-pairing, i.e. permitting non-standard base-pairing at the 3rd anti-codon position.
Source: Rfam by way of RNAcentral
AUGUAGCUCAGUAGUAGAACACCUACCUGGCAUGUAUGAGGCCCUGGGUUCCAUCCCCAGCAU